GAUGAACGCUGGCGGCGUGCCUAAUACAUGCAAGUCGAGCGAACGGACGAGAAGCUUGCUUCUCUGAUGUUAGCGGCGGACGGGUGAGUAACACGUGGAUAACCUACCUAUAAGACUGGGAUAACUUCGGGAAACCGGAGCUAAUACCGGAUAAUAUUUUGAACCGCAUGGUUCAAAAGUGAAAGACGGUCUUGCUGUCACUUAUCGAUGGAUCCGCGCUGCAUUAGCUAGUUGGUAAGGUAACGGCUUACCAAGGCAACGAUGCAUAGCCGACCUGAGAGGGUGAUCGGCCACACUGGAACUGAGACACGGUCCAGACUCCUACGGGAGGCAGCAGUAGGGAAUCUUCCGCAAUGGGCGAAAGCCUGACGGAGCAACGCCGCGUGAGUGAUGAAGGUCUUCGGAUCGUAAAACUCUGUUAUUAGGGAAGAACAUAUGUGUAAGUAACUGUGCACAGCUUGACGGUACCUAAUCAGAAAGCCACGGCUAACUACGUG
RNAcentral lists this ribosomal RNA (497 nucleotides) under uncultured bacterium. Its description in RNAcentral is "partial 16S ribosomal RNA". It matches the Rfam family "Bacterial small subunit ribosomal RNA", at positions 28 to 507 of the family's 1533-position model. The record is from RNAcentral.